RNAcentral lists this long non-coding RNA (1092 nucleotides) under Numida meleagris (helmeted guineafowl). RNAcentral's name for it is "lncRNA (ENSNMEG00000019508.1)". Lineage: Eukaryota; Metazoa; Chordata; Aves; Galliformes; Numididae. The record is from RNAcentral.
AUGGGACCUCAGCGCACCCGUGAGCCGGCCUGGCUGCAGGGAGAAAACACAGGAGAAGAAAAGGGCGCUUCCCCUCUGCCGGAACGCUGCACACCGGUACCGGCUGCCACCGCACACCGAACUCCCGGACCGCCCGCAGACGCGGCCCCGCCGCUCACUCAGCGCCCCUCGGCCGCGCAUGCGCGGUCUGCGCGGGGUUGGCGGGCCGCCCAGCGGUGCGCGAGUGGCCCUGCCGCUCCUGCCUCGGGGCCGGCCGCGUCUCCUUCCUCCCUCCGCGCCUUCCUCCUCCUCGCCGCGCGGUCUGAGCGCGACCGCUGCUUCUUCCCUGUCUUAGCGCUUGCGGCGGCGACCGCCUCGGCAUUGAAGGGGAAGUGGCAGCGUGGGGCGGGGAGAGGAAGAGAGGAGGACGGCCCUCAGCCGCGCGGCCGUCCCUGCUCCACUCCGGUUCCUGCGGUUCCCGGGGCGGGGAAGGGCCGAGGGGGCAGGGUGAGGCGAGAGCGCAGCUGCCCGGCCCAGGCCGCCGGCCCGUCCCCGCUUGCCGGCCCCAGCGCUCGCCCUGGGGCGGCUUCGGCCUCCGUUCCGCGGCCGCCGGCACGGAGCCUGAGGUGGAACCGGUCCCCGCGGUUCGCGUGGGAGGCGGGGAGGGCGCAGCGAGACCCCCCCCCGGCCCCGUCAGGGCGUUCCGGCGCUGCCGUGGGCUGGCCCGCAGGUGAGGCUCGGGCGGGCGGGAGGCCGCGGGGCGGCGGGCAGGGCGCGGUGGCUCGGCCGGGCCCCGUCAGGUGGGCGGCGGGAAAGGGAACAAUGCCGGCGGGUCCCGCAGCUGCGCUCCGUGCCGAGGGGAAGGGCGGUGCGGCGGGGAGAGAGAAAGGGAAAGGAGGUUGCCCCGAAUCACGGCCGUUGCUGUGCCUAUGCCUUUCUCUCCCUAACUUCCUCGAGGCGCAGCGCUGUAUCUCCGCCGUUUGUCAGGGCGUGUCCCGCCGCAGGGAGGGCCGUGCCGUGCCGUGCUGCUGCCAGGCCGCCGUGCUGCAGCCGGGCCGGGCUCGCUCCCGCGGGUCGCAGCGUGCCGAGGCGGCUCUCUGUGCCCGGUGCUGA